Molecule: unclassified non-coding RNA, 348 nt
Filed under: Hevea brasiliensis (rubber tree)
Lineage: Eukaryota; Viridiplantae; Streptophyta; Magnoliopsida; Malpighiales; Euphorbiaceae
Source: RNAcentral
GAAAUUUGCAAAACUCGAAAUUAUCAGGGACAGCUACAAACGACUUUAGAGAAUAUUUAAGAAGUCAGAAAAACGAUUGAUCAAAAUUCUUACAAUUGUUGAAGCAGAGGCUUAAACACUGAACAUGACCCCAGCAGAUUCCAGCUUAACAUAUUUCGUAAGCUCUUGUAAUUCUUUAACCAUAGAUUGCCAUGUAUAAUCAAAGUUCUUCUUGGUUGGUUUCAAAUGUCAAGAAACUACUGAUCCAAAAUCUUAAGCUUUUAUGUGAGAAUCACAAAAACAAUGUUAUAAUUCUAAUGCACUUUACAUUUGAUUGUCCAUUAAACUUAAAGUGAUAAUAAACAUUGG